This is a long non-coding RNA of Zeugodacus cucurbitae (melon fly), 2577 nucleotides long. RefSeq lists it as uncharacterized. The transcript is spliced from 3 exons. The record is from RefSeq and is a predicted model, not a curated record. NCBI's taxonomy places the organism in Eukaryota, Metazoa, Arthropoda, Insecta, Diptera, Tephritidae.
UAAUGUUAGCAAAUAUUCAAACAUUCCGACACAGCUUCAAAUGCUGCGCUUGGCUGAUGGCAAAGCUAAGUUAUAGGAUGUAAAUGUGGGUCUCAAACGACGCUUGUAACCAUGUUGAAGGAAAAUUGAACAGUGAUUCUGUUCCCUUAAAAAAAGUUUAGAUUCCAAGGGUGUUGCAGGCUAUAUCCUAAAGCAAAUUACUUUCAGAUAAUCUUAAAUAGAGUUAGAAAUGAGUACUUUAAGGCUUGUAUAAAAUACCGGCAGACAUUUUUGUUUUCUAGGGACCAUAGAAAAUAAACGCUAUUUCUUGUACUAUGCCUAAGCGUUUAUUCCUGUAAAUAAUAUAGAACUACUUAAAUUAAUUGAUUAAGUAAACUUAAAUUUGAGGUUAUGAUAGGUGCUUUUCUUUCCUAUUUUUCGUCCUCUUUCAAACAUUUAUGACAAUAACUAAAAUCAUGUUAGAAAAGUUAGUAGACAAACUAACCUUAUUUUUGAGGUUAUGUUUGCCGAUUUCUCAAAAAGCGCUUUUUCUCUUCUCUCAGAACCAUUUCUAACGUUGCUUGGUUUGUAUUGAGACCAGAAAGCUUAUUUAGUUAUCUGAUUCCAAUAAAUAUGCAGAGUGUUCUAGUGUAUGUACCAGAUUUUAGAAUUGCUGCCUCUGCUAUAUGUCUGCUUUGUCCUGCUCUCCUAACUAACUGGGUCAUAUGCAUAGACUGAUUGAAAUAAAUUAUCGCACUGAAUACGUCAUGAUCUCUAUGUUUUAUAACACUCUUUGACCUCUAUACCUAUAACGAACUCGACUUGUUUCUCUUUCAAACUCCUUUAGAUCGCACAUCAAAACUUUCUUUUGAAUACAACGUACAUCAUCUCAUCUCAUAUAUUCUCUUCGAAUCGCUCUAAAAUAUCCGUUUUGUUACUACUUUAAGCUACUUGAAAGUACAAAGACUAGCAGAUGAAACAAUUUUCCAAAAGAACUUGCGGAAUGUUGUUAAGGUAACAGCCUUCGGUCAUACAAUUCAAGUUACUUAUGUCUACCCGAUAUAUGCGAAUAAAUUUACUUGGCAUACAUUCUUCAUUUUUUUUAAGUUAUAGAUCAAAAAUUAAAAAUGUUUCUAAUAAUCAUAGCUUGGCACAUUUCUAAUAAAAAUAUUGACAAAGUUCAUCCAUCCCUAUGCUGAAGAAAUAAGUGGAGGACCGCAAAGAGAAAUAUAUAACAAUACUCCGUGACCUAAACCAAUUGGGUAAUGUCAUGGUACAUUCCUGCAGUGAAAUUUCCUUAAUAUAACAGUUACAGAAAAGCUAUAGUCUUACUGAAAGGCAACGUACUACCGAACAGCACAACUACAUUUUUGAGCGUGUCUAGUUUUAAAAGACUAAACAAGCAGAUCCAAUAAAUAGAUAAAUAUUUACAAAAAUCCAUAGAGAGUUGAAGAAAACAACUUGAAGUUGGCUGCUUUCCUUGAUAAAGUACUCUAUUUUCUGUCAUAUUUAAAUCCCAACCUGUGUUUGUUACGGAGAAGAUUUUAUAUCCGACAUUCGUGAUUUUGUAAUUUAAUUUUCUAACGCAGUCUGUUAUAAGAAAGGGUUCUUCAAACUUGUCUAUAUAGAUCACGUACUAUGCUCUAAAAAGGAGUAAGUUACAACCGUCGUUCGGAAUGAGAGAAAUGAGAGAUACGUAAUUGUUACUCUCAAAGCAUCAAAUACAAUAUGCUGCAGUAAUUAUAGCUCUCCGCUCUUUACCAAGUGACGUGAUAGCUUUAACUGUCUAUCAUCUGCAAAUAAAUCAGAUGAUAUUGUUUAGCCUUGAACGUGAAACAUUGGAGCGAAAAAACGGUUAAAUGAGCUGUGAAAUCGCUUGUAUUGCUAAUAAUGAAAGUAAAUUGCUUUGGUAAUUACACUUAUUAACAUGGCUAAUAAUAUUUUAAUGUGAGGCCGAAAUGAAAUGUACAGUAAAAGUUUUAUAAAAAAAUCGGCGACUAUUUAAGGCAUGUGCCGCUUCGUUUUUUUACAGUAAGUAACUGCAGCUAUUUUUGUAUCUAACGAAUUUUUGUGACAUAAAAAAUGUUGAAGGACUAUAAAAUUGUCAUCUGUUUCGCAAUGUUUACACUUUUCGGUCUAACAUUAGCGCGCUCAGAUCCACAGCUUCAAGCAAGAUUCAUUGAGCUCCAACAUACGGUGAGAGAAUUGACUACUUCCUUAUUGAAAUUGAGUCCGAAUGGCGAAAACAUAUCAGAAAAUGAAAACAAAAAUCCGAUGGAUUUUGAAGAUUUCAAAAAUUUAUUGAAUCUCUAAAGUUUUGGAUAUAGAGGAAAUUUUAAAUAUGAAAAGUAAUCAGCAAUCAAGAAGGUAGUUGAUUUUAAUUAAAGUGUAUUCCGCGCAUCUAUUAGUCAAAAUAUAUUACGUAACUAACCAAAAAUAACUGUUAUUUAACUUAUUUAACUUGUAUUCAGUACAUUAAAUAUAAUACAAAAAUUUGCGUAAAUAAAGAAACAAAUUUGAUUUAUGCUGAGUAGUAUUCAGCUCAGUAAUUAGUUAAAACAUUUAAAAAAUUUAGCAAUAUCAACAUUAAUGAAGUAU